GUUUGGAAGAAGCAUCAGAUCUAGCUGACGCUGCCACGGAAUUUGACCUUUUCGACUAGAUUAGACUUGCAGACAAAUUGGAAAUGGACCAACCAGGUACUCCGGUUAAACGUCCAUCCAAAAGAAGUUUCCCUGACAUGACUGAGUUUCAUGCAAGACUAGAAAUGCAAAUGGCACUAAAUGGAGUAACCGUAGAUGGUGUUUCGCCAAAGAGACUAAAGGUGGACCUAGAUCUGGAGGGAUUACCCAUUAAUCCUAUCUAUCGUAAAAUUGCUUUGGAGAAGUUCCCAUGCCCUUACUGCUUCAUUUUGCCACCAGAGGGCAUGGAGAAGCAUUUGAAGCAGUAUCACAAGGUCGAAAAAGUACUAAAGUGCAACCGGAUUGGAUGUGGAGCCAUCUACUUCACAACUGAAUCAGAAAAGAUGCGUCAUGACACCAAAUUUCACUUAUAGUUUGAGUUUUUUUUAACAUUUCUUUUCAAUCGAGGAAAGAAAUAUGGAAGAUUUAAAAGCAUCAUCUACGAUACUCAUCGAUAGAAAUUAAAUUAGCCGCUGCAAACAUUUUCAAUCACCCUCAGCUAGAAUUAACCUAGAAAUUAGGAAUAUAUCCUGUUAAUUGAUUUAUUCAGAAAUAAAGUUAAGAUGCAACUCCGGAAGGUUUUUUAGUAAGAAAACCGAGGAUUUUAUCAAGUCUCAUUAGCAAUUUUAAGUAAUGAAAUAAAUCUGUCUUUCUAUACACUAUUUCCAAUUGUUUUCAUUCCCGAAAAGAGUUGUAAAUCUAUAAAAUGAAUCGUUUCUGAGGGAAUA
Cloeon dipterum is the source of this 806-nucleotide long non-coding RNA. RefSeq lists it as uncharacterized. Lineage: Eukaryota; Metazoa; Arthropoda; Insecta; Ephemeroptera; Baetidae. The transcript has 4 exons. The record is from RefSeq and is a predicted model, not a curated record.